UUAAAAAUGAUUUAAGAAAAAAAAAAGGAGGCCUGAUUCCCUUUCACACCGACCUGGAGCGGGAAGUAUGCAAAGGUGUGGAGGUGGAGCCUAGGCUGAGAAAAAAUAUCAAAAGAAAGAACUGCGUGGAAUCUGGCUCGUGACUCUGCUGCGUGCUGCCCUUCCAUUCACAUCACUGAUACCCGCCAGCGUCCGCCCAGCAUCUGCGGUUAGCCAGCCCGCCGUCUCCCCAGGACCUCGCGUGCCUGUGUCCAGGAAGAGUGCUGGUCCUGUGGCGGUGCAGGUGUCUGCAUGGACGCCUGGGAACUGAGAGCGCAGGCUGUGUAAAGGACUCUCAGUGAGGCCUCCCGUGACUGCUUGAGUGGUAGGAGCUGCAGCCGGCGCCCUGGUUACCCCAGGACAGACGGGGACACUGCUGAGCAGGAGGCCACAGUUGCCUCCUCCAAGUGUGCAGGGACCUUUCUCCUCUCAGCUGGUAAGAAAGCAUCUACCCCAUGGUCAGUGUGAGGACUUUCUGUCUGGAGGAGAAACACUAGCUGCCCGGGGGUGUGGGGCUUCAUGGCAACCCUACUCCCUUGAUCUAACAGGAAACACGACCUUGGAGGAAGAGGAGGCCCAGAGGUCAGAAGCUGAAAACAGACACCACAGCCAGCUCUUCACAAACAAGAGGCUUUAUUUUUAUACUGUAUUCCACCCCACAAAAAGUAGGGGGAGCAUUUG
Molecule: long non-coding RNA, 720 nt
Organism: Artibeus jamaicensis (Jamaican fruit-eating bat)
Lineage: Eukaryota; Metazoa; Chordata; Mammalia; Chiroptera; Phyllostomidae
Exons: 3
Source: RefSeq, a predicted model, not a curated record